This 482-nucleotide long non-coding RNA is filed under the name Mytilus galloprovincialis (Mediterranean mussel). Lineage: Eukaryota; Metazoa; Mollusca; Bivalvia; Mytilida; Mytilidae. The record is from RNAcentral.
UUCCCGACUGUGUUUUAAUCGACCAAGCCAUAUUCCUUCAGUUUUUGUUUUAUUCAAUUUCAAACCUGAGAGAGUACCAAAUAUUUCUAUUAAAUUAAUUGCUAGAGAUACAUCUUUUUUUGAUUGAAGAAAUAGAGUAGUAUCGUCAGCUAAUUGGCAGAUUUUCAGGGUAUUACUCUUACCGUCUAAUUUUAUUUCUAGUCCUUUUAAGUUUUUAUUUUCCCUUAUCUUUAUUGCCAUAACUUCUACAGCUAGAACAAAUAGUAACGAUGAUAACGGACAUCCUUGUCGGAUCCCGCGAGAGCGCCCAAAACGGGAGGAAACCCAUCCAUUAUUAAUAAUGCAUCCUUUAAUAUCAGAGUACAUUGUCUGAACCCACCUUAUAAAAUUAUCUUUAAAUCCAAAUUUUUUUAAAGUCUCAAACAUGAAGUCCCAUUCUAAUGAGUCAAAUGCUUUUGUAAAAUCAAGAAAUAAAAUUGCCC